UGUUGGAGACCAGGCUGGGUUCAGUGUGUGGAUGUGUAUAGUAUAUGUACCCGCUCCCCAUGGAGCUGUAGUAGAAGAUUAGGUGACAUUGGACCCCCUAAUCUGCAGGCCAUAGAGGGAACAUGGGACAUCUCCAGGCCAACUCCUUUUCUUAGUGAUGAGCAGUGACUUGCUUGAGAAUGUGAUCCUCCCAGCAACGCAAUGAGUCAUAUUGCAUGACCCUCAUCUUAUGAAUGAAGAAACAGAAGCUCCCAGAGGUGCCACUCGCCCGCGGUCACAGAGCUGAUGUUGCUAUGUCAAAUGUUCUCGGAACUCACAGAUCCAACUAAGUCAUGAAGCCCUAGGAAACGGGGACUGUAGUCUCUCAGGAUGAUGUACUGGCCUAAGCAGAACAAGUUUCUUUUGACACUGCUUCUUGUUCACACCUUUCCCG
Molecule: long non-coding RNA, 433 nt
Filed under: Pan troglodytes (chimpanzee)
Lineage: Eukaryota; Metazoa; Chordata; Mammalia; Primates; Hominidae
Description: long non-coding RNA NONPTRT001320
Source: RNAcentral